This 253-nucleotide ribosomal RNA is filed under the name uncultured bacterium. RNAcentral's name for it is "partial 16S ribosomal RNA". It matches the Rfam family "Bacterial small subunit ribosomal RNA", at positions 524 to 776 of the family's 1533-position model. The record is from RNAcentral.
UACGUAGGGCGCAAGCGUUGUCCGGAAUUAUUGGGCGUAAAGAGCUCGUAGGCGGCCUGUUACGUCUGCUGUGAAAUCCCGGGGCUUAACCCCGGGCGUGCAGUGGAUACGGGCAGGCUGAAGGCAGGCAGGGGAGAACGGAAUUCCCGGUGUAGCGGUGAAAUGCGCAGAUAUCGGGAGGAACACCGGUGGCGAAGGCGGUUCUCUGGGCCUGUACUGACGCUGAGGAGCGAAAGCAUGGGUAGCGAACAGG